GGAAGUCUUGGAAGUGCGGGAGUCUUCCUCCCUUCCCGGGAGCUCCGGGCUCUCCUCCUUUCCCGGGGAGCUCCGGUCGCUUUGUCUCUUGGAGGCCAGAGCCGUGCUUGCAUCACCAGAGGGAGCCUGGAGCCAGAGGGAAUGGGCCCUGGGAGCCUCAGACAACCUCAGG
Molecule: long non-coding RNA, 172 nt
Organism: Antechinus flavipes (yellow-footed antechinus)
Lineage: Eukaryota; Metazoa; Chordata; Mammalia; Dasyuromorphia; Dasyuridae
Exons: 2
Source: RefSeq, a predicted model, not a curated record